UCCUUCUUCUUUUUCUUUUUCUUUUUCCCCUCUCUCUCCACCUUUCUUUCUCCUUCUCUUUUCACGUAGACUCAAGAGCUCAGCCAUGGAGGGUUGAAUUCCAGAUCUAGGUCAACAUCAGACUUUCGUGUUGUCGCUUUGCGAAUGGCCAUAGCCUUAACGGGUGGACGCUUCACGACAGGAAUAGGUAGAUAUGCCGAGGUGGUUUGGGUGGCUGAUGAAGCUCGCCUCUGCUGAAGUCAACGAGCGCUCACUCAUCUCUCCCAGUGAUGGAGUUUGAUAACCCAGAUAUGGGCGAUGACCCACGACUUGCGACUGGGGAGAUCCUAGAGGAGCAAUUUGGGGUGACUAUGAUUUCCAGUUGUAAAGUGUUAGUUAAUGGUGGAAGGAAUAGAUCACGUGUUGGAGUUAGAAAGAGCAGAGAGAAGCCUAAGUCAAGUUGGACCUAUAGAUUCUAUGGUUUGUCUACCAGCACAUGGAGUUGUAAUAGGAGCAAGGAUUAUCGCUUGGCCAAUGCCACCUGACUUGAAACUUGUGUGGCGGGAGUAACUCUUACACAAAGGAAGAGAUCAAUGAAGUACGUGAAGAAUGGGUAAAGGCAAAGAUGUGGUUACUAUGCAAUAAUUUGGAGAGCUUUGGCGAAGGGCGUACAUGUCGAGGAUGUAAUGACCAUAAGGAAUCAGGCUUACACUAGAAAUGUAUUAAGUGUUUUUAGAAUCAUGUUUUAGUUUUAUUGACUGGAUUUAAAGUUAUUUAUUUUAUCCUUAUUUAUGAUAACUACGAAACUUCAGAGUUUCAUUCUUUUAAACAUUUGGUUUGUAUUUAUGAUGGAUUCAUUAUAAAUAAAAGAGUAUUUUUAUUUCAAAAUCAA
Humulus lupulus (European hop) is the source of this 871-nucleotide long non-coding RNA. RefSeq lists it as uncharacterized. Lineage: Eukaryota; Viridiplantae; Streptophyta; Magnoliopsida; Rosales; Cannabaceae. The record is from RefSeq and is a predicted model, not a curated record. The transcript has 6 exons.